This 463-nucleotide ribosomal RNA is filed under the name uncultured bacterium. RNAcentral's name for it is "bacterial SSU rRNA". It matches the Rfam family "Bacterial small subunit ribosomal RNA", at positions 8 to 507 of the family's 1533-position model. The record is from RNAcentral.
AGAGUUUGAUCCUGGCUCAGAACGAACGCUGGCGGCAUGCCUAACACAUGCAAGUCGAACGGGAUCCGAGCUUCGGUUCGGUGAGAGUGGCGGACGGGUGAGUAACGCGUGGGAACCUGCCCAGUGGUGGGGGAUAACUGCGGGAAACUGCAGCUAAUACCGCAUGAGCCCGAGAGGGGAAAGAUUUAUCGCCAUUGGAGGGGCCCGCGUUUGAUUAGGUAGUUGGUGAGGUAACGGCUCACCAAGCCUUCGAUCAAUAGCUGGUCUGAGAGGAUGAUCAGCCACACUGGGACUGAGAUACGGCCCAGACUCCUACGGGAGGCAGCAGUGGGGAAUAUUGGACAAUGGGGGCAACCCUGAUCCAGCAAUGCCGCGUGAGUGAUGAAGGCCUUCGGGUUGUAAAGCUCUUUUGCCAGGGACGAUGAUGACGGUACCUGGAGAAUAAGCCCCGGCUAACUUCGUG